This 2928-nucleotide ribosomal RNA is filed under the name Salmonella enterica. RNAcentral describes it as "23S ribosomal RNA". It matches the Rfam family "Bacterial large subunit ribosomal RNA". The record is from RNAcentral. Lineage: Bacteria; Pseudomonadati; Pseudomonadota; Gammaproteobacteria; Enterobacterales; Enterobacteriaceae.
GGGUUGUGAGGUUAAGCGACUAAGCGUACACGGUGGAUGCCCUGGCAGUCAGAGGCGAUGAAGGACGUGCUAAUCUGCGAUAAGCGCCGGUAAGGUGAUAUGAACCGUUAUAACCGGCGAUUUCCGAAUGGGGAAACCCAGUGUGAUUCGUCACACUAUCAUUAACUGAAUCCAUAGGUUAAUGAGGCGAACCGGGGGAACUGAAACAUCUAAGUACCCCGAGGAAAAGAAAUCAACCGAGAUUCCCCCAGUAGCGGCGAGCGAACGGGGAGGAGCCCAGAGCCUGAAUCAGCAUGUGUGUUAGUGGAAGCGUCUGGAAAGGCGCGCGAUACAGGGUGACAGCCCCGUACACAAAAGCGCAUGUGCUGUGAGCUCGAUGAGUAGGGCGGGACACGUGGUAUCCUGUCUGAAUAUGGGGGGACCAUCCUCCAAGGCUAAAUACUCCUGACUGACCGAUAGUGAACCAGUACCGUGAGGGAAAGGCGAAAAGAACCCCGGCGAGGGGAGUGAAAAAGAACCUGAAACCGUGUACGUACAAGCAGUGGGAGCACAGGUUUACCUGUGUGACUGCGUACCUUUUGUAUAAUGGGUCAGCGACUUAUAUUCUGUAGCAAGGUUAACCGAAUAGGGGAGCCGGAGGGAAACCGAGUCUUAAUUGGGCGUUAAGUUGCAGGGUAUAGACCCGAAACCCGGUGAUCUAGCCAUGGGCAGGUUGAAGGUUGGGUAACACUAACUGGAGGACCGAACCGACUAAUGUUGAAAAAUUAGCGGAUGACCUGUGGCUGGGGGUGAAAGGCCAAUCAAACCGGGAGAUAGCUGGUUCUCCCCGAAAGCUAUUUAGGUAGCGCCUCGUGAAUUCAUCUCCGGGGGUAGAGCACUGUUUCGGCUAGGGGGCCAUCCCGGCUUACCAACCCGAUGCAAACUGCGAAUACCGGAGAAUGUUAUCACGGGAGACACACGGCGGGUGCUAACGUCCGUCGUGAAGAGGGAAACAACCCAGACCGCCAGCUAAGGUCCCAAAGUCAUGGUUAAGUGGGAAACGAUGUGGGAAGGCCCAGACAGCCAGGAUGUUGGCUUAGAAGCAGCCAUCAUUUAAAGAAAGCGUAAUAGCUCACUGGUCGAGUCGGCCUGCGCGGAAGAUGUAACGGGGCUAAACCAUGCACCGAAGCUGCGGCAGCGACACUGUGUGUUGUUGGGUAGGGGAGCGUUCUGUAAGCCUGUGAAGGUGUGUCGUGAGGCAUGCUGGAGGUAUCAGAAGUGCGAAUGCUGACAUAAGUAACGAUAAAGCGGGUGAAAAGCCCGCUCGCCGGAAGACCAAGGGUUCCUGUCCAACGUUAAUCGGGGCAGGGUGAGUCGACCCCUAAGGCGAGGCCGAAAGGCGUAGUCGAUGGGAAACGGGUUAAUAUUCCCGUACUUGGUGUUACUGCGAAGGGGGGACGGAGAAGGCUAUGUUGGCCGGGCGACGGUUGUCCCGGUUUAAGCGUGUAGGUGUGUGUUCCAGGUAAAUCCGGUUCACUUUAACACUGAGGCGUGAUGACGAGGCACUACGGUGCUGAAGCAACAAAUGCCCUGCUUCCAGGAAAAGCCUCUAAGCAUCAGGUAACAUCAAAUCGUACCCCAAACCGACACAGGUGGUCAGGUAGAGAAUACCAAGGCGCUUGAGAGAACUCGGGUGAAGGAACUAGGCAAAAUGGUGCCGUAACUUCGGGAGAAGGCACGCUGACACGUAGGUGAAGUGAUUUACUCAUGGAGCUGAAGUCAGUCGAAGAUACCAGCUGGCUGCAACUGUUUAUUAAAAACACAGCACUGUGCAAACACGAAAGUGGACGUAUACGGUGUGACGCCUGCCCGGUGCCGGAAGGUUAAUUGAUGGGGUCAGCGCAAGCGAAGCUCCUGAUCGAAGCCCCGGUAAACGGCGGCCGUAACUAUAACGGUCCUAAGGUAGCGAAAUUCCUUGUCGGGUAAGUUCCGACCUGCACGAAUGGCGUAAUGAUGGCCAGGCUGUCUCCACCCGAGACUCAGUGAAAUUGAACUCGCUGUGAAGAUGCAGUGUACCCGCGGCAAGACGGAAAGACCCCGUGAACCUUUACUAUAGCUUGACACUGAACAUUGAGCCUUGAUGUGUAGGAUAGGUGGGAGGCUUUGAAGUGUGGACGCCAGUCUGCAUGGAGCCGACCUUGAAAUACCACCCUUUAAUGUUUGAUGUUCUAACGUGGACCCGUUACCCGGGUUGCGGACAGUGUCUGGUGGGUAGUUUGACUGGGGCGGUCUCCUCCUAAAGAGUAACGGAGGAGCACGAAGGUUGGCUAAUCCUGGUCGGACAUCAGGAGGUUAGUGCAAUGGCAUAAGCCAGCUUGACUGCGAGCGUGACGGCGCGAGCAGGUGCGAAAGCAGGUCAUAGUGAUCCGGUGGUUCUGAAUGGAAGGGCCAUCGCUCAACGGAUAAAAGGUACUCCGGGGAUAACAGGCUGAUACCGCCCAAGAGUUCAUAUCGACGGCGGUGUUUGGCACCUCGAUGUCGGCUCAUCACAUCCUGGGGCUGAAGUAGGUCCCAAGGGUAUGGCUGUUCGCCAUUUAAAGUGGUACGCGAGCUGGGUUUAGAACGUCGUGAGACAGUUCGGUCCCUAUCUGCCGUGGGCGCUGGAGAACUGAGGGGGGCUGCUCCUAGUACGAGAGGACCGGAGUGGACGCAUCACUGGUGUUCGGGUUGUCAUGCCAAUGGCACUGCCCGGUAGCUAAAUGCGGAAGAGAUAAGUGCUGAAAGCAUCUAAGCACGAAACUUGCCCCGAGAUGAGUUCUCCCUGAGACUUUAAGUCUCCUGAAGGAACGUUGAAGACGACGACGUUGAUAGGCCGGGUGUGUAAGCGCAGCGAUGCGUUGAGCUAACCGGUACUAAUGAACCGUGAGGCUUAACCUUACAACGCCGAAG